This 478-nucleotide ribosomal RNA is filed under the name uncultured bacterium. RNAcentral describes it as "partial 16S ribosomal RNA". It matches the Rfam family "Bacterial small subunit ribosomal RNA", at positions 28 to 523 of the family's 1533-position model. The record is from RNAcentral.
GACGAACGCUGGCGGCGUGCUUAACACAUGCAAGUCGAACGGUAAGGCCCUUCGGGGUACACGAGUGGCGAACGGGUGAGUAACACGCGGGUGAUCUGCCCUGCACUUCGGGAUAAGCCUGGGAAACUGGGUCUAAUACCGGAUAGGACCCUGGGAUGCAUGUCCUGGGGUGGAAAGCUUUUGCGGUGUGGGAUGGGCCCGCGGCCUAUCAGCUUGUUGGUGGGGUGAUGGCCUACCAAGGCGACGACGGGUAGCCGGCCUGAGAGGGUGACCGGCCACACGGGGACUGAGAUACGGCCCAGACUCCUACGGGAGGCAGCAGUGGGGAAUAUUGCACAAUGGGCGCAAGCCUGAUGCAGCGACGCCGCGUGAGGGAUGACGGCCUUCGGGUUGUAAACCUCUUUCAGCACCGACGAAGCGCAAGUGACGGUAGGUGCAGAAGAAGGACCGGCCAACUACGUGCCAGCCGCCGCAGUAA